AAAUCUGUUGAGCCUUGUUAUUCUGAAAAGUUAACCGAAGAAAACAAAAAUUGUUUUUGUUUGAUGCUGAGCUUAUGCUGAUCCAGUCAAAACAGAAUACUGGAGAUAAUAAAAAAGUGUGUAUUGAAAGAACUAUUCCUGGUGUAAUUUGCAAUAAUGUUGAUGAGUUUGUUGCAACAGUUUUGCGACGUAGAUCUCUUGAACCAGAGAAUGUUGAUGUUAAGAUUGGGGUAGAUGGAGGGCAAGGCUAUCUUAAGGUUACUUUAUCAAUCACAUUAAAGCCAGAGCUUGAAGUACAUUCAA
Hydra vulgaris (swiftwater hydra) is the source of this 303-nucleotide non-coding RNA. NCBI's taxonomy places the organism in Eukaryota, Metazoa, Cnidaria, Hydrozoa, Anthoathecata, Hydridae. The record is from RefSeq and is a predicted model, not a curated record.